This 368-nucleotide ribosomal RNA is filed under the name uncultured bacterium. RNAcentral's name for it is "bacterial SSU rRNA". It matches the Rfam family "Bacterial small subunit ribosomal RNA", at positions 144 to 507 of the family's 1533-position model. The record is from RNAcentral.
UAACGUAGACGAAAGUUACGCUAAUACCGCAUAUUCUGUGAGCAGGAAAGAGGGGAUCGCAAGACCUCUUGCUUUAGGAGCGGCCGAUGUCGGAUUAGCUAGUUGGUGAGGUAAAGGCUCACCAAGGCGACGAUCCGUAGCGGGUCUGAGAGGAUGAUCCGCCACACUGGGACUGAGACACGGCCCAGACUCCUACGGGAGGCAGCAGUGGGGAAUUUUGGACAAUGGGCGCAAGCCUGAUCCAGCCAUGCCGCGUGAGUGAAGAAGGCCUUCGGGUUGUAAAGCUCUUUCGGUGGGGAAGAAAUGGCACGGGUUAAUACCCUGUGUUGAUGACGGUACCCGCAUAAGAAGCACCGGCUAACUACGUG